RNAcentral lists this ribosomal RNA (254 nucleotides) under uncultured bacterium. RNAcentral describes it as "partial 16S ribosomal RNA". It matches the Rfam family "Bacterial small subunit ribosomal RNA", at positions 524 to 776 of the family's 1533-position model. The record is from RNAcentral.
UACAGAGACUGCAAGCGUUAUUCGGAUUCACUGGGCGUAAAGGGUGCGCAGGCGGCCAAGUGUGUGAGGCGUGAAAGCCCGGGGCUUAACCCCGGAAUUGCACCUCAAACUACAUGGCUAGAGCAUUGGAGAGGGUAGCAGAAUUCAUGGUGUAGCAGUGAAAUGCGUAGAUAUCAUGAGGAAUACCAGAGGCGAAGGCGGCUACCUGGACAAUUGCUGACGCUCCAGGCACGAAAGCGUGGGGAGCAAAAGGG